AUGCAACAGGACCUAGUGAUUUCAUUAUCUUGAUAAUAUGAAGUAAUACAACACUCAAAUCCUAAAAUUCCUUUUUAUCAUGCUUCUUAGAAACUGUUCAGACUGCUAUACUGACUAGACAGCGUUUGCGUCAACUAACUUCUUGGAAGCAUAGAUAUUUUCGGAAGCAUCUAUAUAAUUUGAACUGUAGAUAUAACAUUAAUAGCUGAAAAUGAUAAAAUCCCAACUUCAGCUAGGAACUAUACCCAGAAUAUUAUGUGCAUCAUUAAGGUCAAAUGAACAUACUUUGUAUUGGGACUGCUAUUCUGACUAGACAGCAUCUGCAUUAAUUAACUUCUUGAAACCAUAAAUUUAUUCUGAAACAUCGAAAUAGCUUGCUAUUGGGGUCUUCACGCGCCUCAGUGUUGAACUACUGCUUGACAAAACAAAGAGAUAAUCAGCAAAUAUCAUUGUUUUAUCAUGAGUAGGGACCUAAAGGGUUAACGAACCAAUAUUAUUUGCAAAACGGUAGGGUCUUGAAGGGGGAUGAAUGAACCAAAUAUUGCAGUUAAUCAUAAUGCUCAAGCUGGUCUUGUAAUGAACCAAAAGGUUCCCAUGGUGAUGUAAGUUUUUCCUGUCCACUGGACAUGUAUUCAUCACCCUUCGCAACUUAGAAAUUAACAAGUUUAUCACUGUUAUAUACCAAGAAACUCUGCUCAACCAAAAAGUACCAUCUUCAACAAAUUUGCAGGGAGACAAAGCCGAAGUAAGAAGAAUUUUCACCAAUAGGGUCGUACAGCCUACCUAGAAUCAUACUAGCUUCUAUGGGGUGAAUGGGAGAUCAUGAAUGCUAAUGGUUAGGUUAGUGGCCUCCAUUGCACUUACGAGGAGUGCUCACCUGAGGGAGGAGCCUACAUCAUAGAAUUCUGUGAUAGAGGAUUGCGUUCGCGCAGCUCCUGCAAUUGUAGUACAAGUUGAGUCCUUAAACAACUAGGUAACAGUUAAAUUACAUACAAGAUGUUGACUACUUAAUAUUAACUAUAUCUACUUAUAUAACACUUAACAGUUGAACUACAAAAAGAAAGUUUUUCAAUAUUGACUCUAGAGUAUACACACAACACGGAUGGCAGCAGCAAGGAACAGGUACUGUCAACGAAUUUGUUUUGCACAACAAGGAGCUGUUAAGGAAUUCGUUUUGCAUUUUAAUUAAUUUAUUCGACUUUCCUCUCUUUCAAAAUUUCAGACUCGUCAGGGUGUUUGAGUAAUAGUUUGUAUCAUCUAGAAGUCUGAUACCCGUUUUCCUCCAACUAGUUUUAGAACAUUUAUUAUCUUGCUCAAGCUGUCUUGCAAGCAGUGAAUGUAGAACAUGAUAUUCUUGAAGUGUCUUGUACCACCUCGAGAUAUAUUUGGCAGAGGUAAGAGCUGAGCUUUAAAGAGAGAAUCACACAUAGAAAACAGUCAUACCUUUCUCGGCCUUUUGGCUAAGAUCAAGUGUAGUAUCUGUUCUUAUCAGUUUAAGAUCUGAUAUGUAGGCCAUAGGUCCACACGAUAUUAAAUUAAUUUUUUAAGGGGGAAGUCCCACCACAAUAGCUUGCUAUUGGGGUCUUCGCGUGUUGCCCAAGUGUUGCACUACUGCUCGGGCCUGGCACACCCCACCAAAUCAAGUAUUCAAAUUCAAAUAUAUUUUGCUAAAUUAGAUUACUGUGAACCAGCCCCCCAUAAUGGUUGAAUCUUGAUGGUUUUGGUUUACCAAAUUUGCAUAAGAGGAGAGUUUGAUGGUACAUUGGAAAGUGCAGAAGUUUCUGUGCCUGUAUUGGGUGGAAUACUAAAAGAGAAAAAUUGGCGCAGACAUCAUGCUUGUUCCUAGGGGGAGGGUCCUAAAAGGGAAAGAUGAAUGAACCGAACUUGGCAUUUAAUCGGGUUCUAGAUGAGUCUUAAGAGUGCCUAGGUUCUUGAGGCAAGAUAAAUUUUUGCACUCAAGCAGAGUUAUUCUUAGGAGUGCCUUGGUUCUUGAGGCAGGAUAAAUUUUUGCACUCAAGCAGAGUUAUUCUUAGGAGUGCCUAGGUUCUUGAGGCAGGAUAAAUUUUUGCACUCCACAAGCAGAACUCUGACAGGGCAUGUUGCAGCAAUUGGUUCAUCACCUUUAUGCAGCUUAAGAAGGUGACAAGUUUGUCACUGUUUUUGCUCCACUGAAACUAAUAUCUCUAUUAAGACUAAUAUCUCUAUUAAGAGAUUCGCAGGGAAAAGAAAACCAAAGUGAAGAAUGCUUGAUAACAGGCCUGCUCAGAAAAUAGGACCAAAAAGACCCAUAAUGAAAAGUAUAAUCAUACUCGCUCCUCUCACAACUAUAUUAAGGGGCACAAGCUUCAGUAUCGUUUCAUUAAGCCAUGAAGUGAGCACAAAGCGAACUAUUCUUUCGCCUUUUACUAAAGAAUACAGUGGAAUCGUCCCCUAUAGUUCAGUUCAAAUAUUUUUGUCCAAUAUGCAGCCUAUGUUUACAUGAUGUUGCAUUUUCAAAAUAUAAGUCCACAGAUUUACAUUGUUUAGUGGACUUUCAAAUUCGAAACAUUCUCGACAAACGAACUACAGUUUUGUAAUAACAGGACUUGGUGUUGAGAUGACAUCAGUACAUAGAUAGAUAGGAUUAUUUUAAACGAACUACAGUUUUGUAAUAACAGGACUUGGUGUUGAGAUGACAUCAGUACAUAGAUAGAUAGAAUUUUAUUUUAUUUUUUUUGGUCAGGAUAGACAGGAUUAUUUGAACAAAAGAUUUCCUUCAAAUCACCCAUAAUUGGUGAUUCCGAAAGUUGGACUCGAGACUGUGUAGAAGUAUGGACUUCUCGAAUUCUGUAAUGGUCCCCCAGGAAAACUUUCCUGAGAUAUUGAAUAAAUGUCCCACAUAGGCUAAUGUUAGUUACCCUAAUAUAUUCAUAUAACACAGUCCAAACUCAUGUAUCUGUCCCUUCGGGGACAUCCGAUAAAAUUGGAACGAGACAGAGAAGAUUAGCAUGGCCCCUGCGCAAGGAUGACACGCACAAAUCGAGAAAUGGUCCAAAUUUUUUUGCUCAAAUUAGCAAUAAAUUUGUUCCAGGACUAAGGUGGUUGUUGCGGGGUGUCUAGCUAAGCCUUGAUUCUUUUUUAUCAAAUGAACUUGGAGAAACUGAUUGAUAUAAUGAUACGUAAUCAAGAUGAUAAAAAAUUGAAGUUGCAUGAAUACAAGUUACCUUCUCAUGCUUCACUUGACCAAGAAACCAGCAUUUCAGAGUAAUGCCAUUACAUGCUUCCUGGAACCAGCCAAUACGCACUCCUUCGCUUCUUUUAUUUCUCUUCUUCCCAACUUUCAGAAGGUGGAAGGCUAAAAAUGGAUAGUCAGUUCCAUGAGAAUAAAAUCAUGAGGAUGGCUAAUACGGUCAUCAUGAAAGAAACUUUAAUUAGUUGCUCAAGACCAAUAUAGUAGGAAGCAAUACACACAUGAUCGCUAAAAAAAAUCAUCUUAAAAAAUUGAAAUAAUUAAAUAAUUGCAAAGCUAUAAAAAUUGAAAAUUUGAACAUUAGACUAGUAACUGAAGUAUUAUAUAAUAUGACAUAUUUAUUUAUUUUUCAAAUAUAUACCCGUACACUUUCUCACGUAGAAAACCACAAAAUUCAAAAUCAAAAUAAAUUCGGAUGAACCAAAUCUUAAGUAAACAAAAUCUUAAGCAUCAAGGCUAAGGUUUUGACAUUUACAGAAGACACCAAGUCAUCAAAAAAGAACACAUGGAUUAGUAAGGGUGCUCGAGAACUGCAUGAUAAGAGGCAUUACUGCAUUACGAUAUAUUAUGCACAUAAUCACUAAGACUCUCAAGCUUAACAAUUUAUUCAUAUAUAUCUUAGAACUUUGAAAGAAACUUUUCAACCACAUUAGGAGCAAUAGAUGCAAACAGUGCGAACAAAAAUUUGCUAAAGUACAGGACCUGUAUUAUUAAGAAGAUAAGCCCCUGUUGCCGAUCAUAAGCCAAAGGAUUAAAUAGACACAUACACAUGCAUUCUUAUGCAAGCACAAACCGAGAUCCAAUUUCUUUUAGACAAAUCAAAUUGCCUUCUAUGACCCAAGCUUGGUAGACUAUAUGGGGGUUGUAUAUUACAAGAGACCUGAAAAGAGAAGGGUGGGUGCAUAUGGCUGCUGCAUAUUAACGGCAAUUCAAAGGAGACUUAAAAAGUACAGGGUGAGUUCACAUGGCUGCAGUAUAUGUAUAUUACAGGGGACUAGAAAACAAUGUCGGUCUAUGACUAUUGACUGCGGCAUAUGACAGGAAACAAACAAAAAAAGAAGAUAUAGGAGUCUGUCAGGCAACUGCAAGAUCACCCCAGCCAGGGACUCGGGCAACUGCAGGACCACCCCAGCCAGGGUGGGUGCAUAUGGCUGCUGCAUAUUACUGGCGAUUCUGGGUGCAUAUUGGCUGCUGCAUAUUACCGACGAUUCAACAGAGACUUAAAAAGUACAGGGUUAGUCCACAUGGUUGCAGUAUAUACAAGAUGUCAAAUUCUGCAAAUAAUAUCCUGGUAAAACAUUAUUGACCUGAUGUAGGUAAAUGCAGUGUGGAUUUUGAGUAAUAUACAGCCCUGAUCAACUCAAAAGCCAGGACCAAAUUAACGGUUUUAAUAAUAGUAAGAAGUCGACAAUCUCAGCUACUUAUAUGAUAAAUUCAUAUAAAUAAUUAAGUUAUGUGUCACAAGAAAAAGGACGUCACUAUAAAAGAAAGAGCAUAAAAGAAAGCAAAGUUUCCACCACAUUGUCCAGGGAAUGGAGCCAGUAUUUGUUUAGAACCCCAGGGAGAUGGUCACACUUUCAGCUGGGUCUGGUAGCGCAGGCCUGUAACCCAAGUGGGAGCCAUAAGAUGGUUGGAGGUUGGAUUGGGCCAGAAGGUUGGGCUAGCAUGGGGUUAUACACUGGCCUGCCCAUUCCAAGUAGGGAGCAGGGUCAUGGGCUUUGGGCGAAAGCCAGGAGUUCAUUUCCCCUAAAGAGGAGGGCAUUGCGCUAGGCUGGCUUCACAGAGCAGCGAACACUUCCCUCUCCUGUCGGUGGAAGGAUAACAAGUCGGUUCUUCACUAGUCCAUCAAACACCGGAUGGGUCAUUCAACCAUACAACCAUCUUUUUAAAUCUGGUUUAAAUAGCCAAGUCACGAGCUUUUUCUGAUUCACACCCAUCAAACGUGUGGGAAAAUGAUUAAAUGUUUAUACACAGGACACUACAAAACAUCCCUCCCCUUGCUCCCCUUCCCCCUUUCAAUAUACUAAGAUACGUUCCUGCCUUCCAUAAGAUAGUAUUUACAUAUAAUCACGAAACCAAAAAGGAGUAAAGUUGGUCUAUCUGAUAACUGCAAACAAAUUAAACUAUCUUCAAUUAGCCUUUUUAAUUUUACCCAAAGGAAAGCAAUAUACAGUUGACAAAGUCUGCUUCCAGGAGACUAAAAAAGAGGACAAAAAUAAGGAAAACAGAUUAGGGGACAGACACUAAGAAAUUUAAACAAAAAUGCAAAUCAUUUACUGACUAAAAGAGGCCAGCAAUAAGGGAAAGUACAAGGUUGACAGACCCACUCUCGGUACACUAGAUGAGUGAUGCAUCUUACUGGAGACUUGGAAAGAAAAGGUGGGUCCAUAUGGCUGCUGCAUAUUACAGGAGACCAAAAAAAAUACGUUCGUUCAGACUGCAGCAUAUUACAGGAGACUUAAACAAUAGGGUUAGUUUACCAUAGACUUAAAAAGAAGAGGGUGGGCUUAGAUAGCUGCAGUAUAUUUGCCGAUAAAAAGAGGAGAGUGAUGAGAGGGAGUAAAUGGUUGACAAACCCAAGCUCGGUAGACUAUAUCAGGGUUGUAUAAUACCAGAAACCUGAAAUGAAAAGUGUGGGUGCAUAUGGCUUCUGCAUAUAACAGGAGACCAAAAAAACAGGGUCAAUCCGGCAGCUGCAUAUUACAGGCGAUUCAACGGAGACUUAAAGAGUACAGGGUGAGUCCACAUGGCUGCUGAAUAUUGCAGGGGCAUGGAAAAACAAGGUCGGUCCAUGACUGCGGCAUAUGACAGGAGACAAGAAAAAAGUUAUAGGAGUCUGUCAGACAACGACCACCCCAGCCAGGGACUCCAGCUGAGAACGAUCCUCUACUACUUGAAUGGUCAACUGACCAAACUGGCUGUUAAUCACGCUCUGGUCAUGCAGUCAUGUUUCAUCAACCAGACUUGGUCACCUGCCUCCACCACAUUGUCCAGGGAAUGGAGCCUGUGUUUGUUUACAGCCCCAGGGAGAUGGUCACACUUUCAGCUGGGUCUGGUAGCACAGGCCUGUAACCCAAGUGGGAGCCAUAAGAUGGUUGGAGGUUGGAUUGGGCCAGAAGGUUGGGCUAGCAUGGGGUUAUACACUGACCUGCCCAUUCCAAGUAGGGAGCAGGGUCAUGGGCUUUGGACGAAAGCCAGGAGUUCAUUUCCCCUAAAGAGGAGGGCAUUGCGCUAGGCUGGCUUCACAGAGCAGCGAACACUUCCCUCUCCUGUCGGUGGAAGGAUAACAAGUCGGUUCUUCACUAGUCCAUCAAACACCGGAUGGGUCAUUCGACCAUACAACCAUCUUUUUUAAUCUGGUUUAAAUAGCCAAAGUCAAAAGCUUCUUCUCAUUCACACCCUCAUCACACACCUAAUGAGUCAUUCAACCAUACAACCAUCUUUCAAGAUCGUUUUCUUAUCUACACACAAUGGGACAUAAUGCUUAGUAAAAACCCUGAUCGGCCAUUCAACCACACAACCAUCUUUCAAUUUAUGCCUAAGGAACAUACUGCUUACUAAAAACCAAUCAAAACAUGCUCAUAAAAUCUGUCAAGUCUAGAUUGCGAAUUUCUUUUAGGACAGAGAGUUGGUAGUAUUAUAAAAGGUAAAUAAAGAAUCGUUAUCAAAGUCUCUGCACAAACAAGUAACACAAACCCCAUAUCGGUAAUUUAGUAAACCAUUAUUUGUGCGCAACAUGUGUCGGGCUACAAUCUGUGCUAAUAAUGAAGUGUUGAACAAAAAUCACAAAUUUAAAAUAAGGGAUGUACAAUGAAAUAGUUGUGAAUUGAAAAUCUACCAAGUGUUAUUUAAGAUACAGAUACAUGUAGGCCCAUGACAAGCAAUUAAAAAAAUGUCCACGAAGCAGGCAACUCAAUGAAACAUGUACACAUACACACUAUAAGGAUAUAAAUCAACAGUUCAUCUUACACAAACAAAUCUACUUCUUAAUGAGUUAAUUAGGCCACAAUCCACAUAGAUCUCGUAGAUAUUCUACUAAAAUAUGGAUCCCGAUGUUAAAAGGGAUUAGGCCAUACUAAAAAGUUAACCCUAACUUACCAUUUGAUAUUUAUACACAUCAAACUACAAAAUCUCUCUCUCUCUGUCCCCCUCUCUCUCUCUCUCUCAAACAAAAAUCCGCAUGCAUAUGUAAACACACAAUAAAAGAAUAAACACAUUAAGAAGAGUGGCGUUUUACCAACCGGCCGGAGUAAGAUCGGAGACUCGCUGAUGGGAAUUUUCAUCUCCUAGAAACACGCGCAAAAAGAAGGGGAGGAGAUGACGCAAAGAAGACUCUUGCUAAACCUCCGGAUAAUAUAUAUGGCAUGUUUUUCUGCUGGAUAAAAGAACCCGGCAUACUUCCAAGUUUUUUGAGAGCACUGUCGAGUGAAACAAGUUAAAUUAAAUAUAGUAAAGUUUGAGCACGGUUGGAUAAAGAGUUUAUCCUCUGUCGUCCUCGAGAGUUUCGUAGAACAGAUACUUAUUUGUAAGGUUAUAAGUCAUUUUUGUCAAAAAAUAUAUAUAUAUAUAGUAAAAAAAAAUUUGUGAAGGAAAUUAAAUUUGAGUCACAAGUUCGGAAGAAUAAUAUAGACUUAUUUUCUCACAUGUUAAGAAUAUAUUUAAAAAUAUAAGUUCAUAUUUAAAAAGAUAAAAUCUCUUUAGUAAGAAUAUAUUGAUAUUAUAUAAAAAUAAUAAUUCAACUUUUUUGCUUAUUUUUCUCUUUCUCUUUAUUUUCUAGCAAAACACGAGAGAAUUUUAUAAGAUUUGUUUCCUUCAAUUUUUUUAGUCCUUUUUUAUAACUAAUCAUAAAGUAGUCUUAUUAAAUGGUUAGUCAUUAUUCAGUUUCGAUUCGCUCCGAAACAAAAGUAUAUUACACGAUUGUACAUAGUCAUGUACGUUAUUGGACAAAAGUAUACCACACGCUUGUACAUAGUCUUGUAUUAUCCUUCAGUUUUUUUAAAUCCUAGUUUUUUUCUAUUAUAAGACAAAAUUAUAUCACACGCUUAUCGUGGCAGAUUCAAAAUUUUACGAAGAAAGAGACUUUAUUAAUAUAAAAAAAAUGUAUUGAAUGGAGGGAGAAGACAUUAGAUUUUUUCCAAAAACAUUUUGGGUGACAAUCUUUAUAAAUAUGUAAUUAUCUUGAAUAUAUUAACCAUUUCUUUCUUUUCCAACCGCCGUCGAAAAUACUUGGGCGAACAGCAGGAAUUGAACGUGCACAUGGUGGAUUCACAAUCCACUGUCAUUGAAUGCAUACGGUGAGCUAUAAUAAUGAUUAAAAGCUCUACAUUUCGAAUAUUACACCAAUCAAAAAACUCGAAAAAACUCCCUAUAAUUAAUGGGUCGGGCUCAACAUUAAAUCUAAUAGACUAGUUUUUUUGUUAAGAAAAAAAACACUAAAUUCGUUUUAUAUGGGAACAAAUUUUCAAAAACAUUGAAGAUGUUAUGGGCUCAGGGAUAGCCCCUUGAGCCCCCUUCUUCAUCCGCCUCCGGAUGUUUAUAAAUACACGGAUCUAAAUUCAAUACAAGAAUGCAAAAGAUUCUUGCGUCGAUUUAAGUGUCUGUGUCUCAUAAGAAAUUCUUAUAAUGAUAACAAUGCAAUAAUACCACUAAAAAUUUAUUAGUCCUGAAUCUGAUAUUUAACAUUUAUAAAAUUUUAAUAUUUUGAGUUAAAUAAUAUAUUAUAUAUGAGCUUAUUAGUGAUAACUUAAUAACUAUAUUUAGUUUGACACAUAUAAAAUUUAAUAUUUAUAUAUUUGUUUAUAUUAUAAAGAGAGUUCUAUAGUUUUUAAAAAUUUAUACAUUUAAAUCAAUUUUGACGAGGCCGUUAUUUUGGAGAUUUCACGUCCUUACACUUCCAUAUAGUGUAGACCGGACAUGUAAAAGACUAGAGUCUCGUGAGUUCUGUCACUGUGAACAGUGAAUAGAAAUACUACACACACAAAAAAAGUCUGCUAAUCUUCUUGCUUAGUCUAGAACAGCAGAGGGUUUCUUACCCGAGCACGGAUUCCCAGGAGCCAAAAAAAUAUAGACGCGCAAGUUUCCGAUCAGGGCGAUCCUGAGAUGUGAUUUAAUUUAUUUCAUUAUGUACUUGUUCAAUUUCAUUUAUUUAUAUAGUCAACAUAUGACCAUCUUCCGAGCAAUUGCUNGAGUUCUAUAGUUUUUAAAAAUUUAUACAUUUAAAUCAAUUUUGACGAGGCCGUUAUUUUGGAGAUUUCACGUCCUUACACUUCCAUAUAGUGUAGACCGGACAUGUAAAAGACUAGAGUCUCGUGAGUUCUGUCACUGUGAACAGUGAAUAGAAAUACUACACACACAAAAAAAGUCUGCUAAUCUUCUUGCUUAGUCUAGAACAGCAGAGGGUUUCUUACCCGAGCACGGAUUCCCAGGAGCCAAAAAAAUAUAGACGCGCAAGUUUCCGAUCAGGGCGAUCCUGAGAUGUGAUUUAAUUUAUUUCAUUAUGUACUUGUUCAAUUUCAUUUAUUUAUAUAGUCAACAUAUGACCAUCUUCCGAUCAAUUGCUCAAUUGUUUUUCUUUACAUAAACACAAAGAAUAAUAAGAGAUUACAUGCCAAACGAAAAAAUUUGGUUUGCUUCUACAUACUUUUACAUUAUGAUAUCUAUACUUUAACGAAAAAUCGAAAUAUUAAACCUUGAACACUAUAAAGCCUUUAAGAAGAUACAAGCUUUUAUUUCUCAAUUAAUUUCAUUUUUUUCCCCUGAAAACAAAUGCAAACUUUAGUUCUAAUCUCGUACAUCCAAAUAGGUACAUAUAGACAAUGUUGAAUGUUUAUCUAAUAUGUAAUUUAAAAAUAAUAGCCGAGCAAUUGCAAAUGAUCUUUAUUGAAAAAUAAAAGAAAAGGAAAAGACAAUUGCUACGCAUCCUGAUUUUAUGCCUCCACUGGUAACUUGAUUUUUACAUAUACGUCAGUAAUAACUCACACUUCCAAGAUGUGGCAUAUCCACAAACAAUCAUGUCAGCUAUAUUCUAAAUAGUCAUAACACGUUCCAGAAAGGGGGGAAAGCAAAAGAAUUAGUAUCAUAUACGGAGAAUUGAACAAACUUUGGAGAAAACAUAAGGAGCAAAAAAAUGACCUGGAAUUUAAAACACAUCCCACUGUAACGAAAUCACUGCUCGAACAUGCAGUUGUUUGAAUCUGAACACGAGGCUUGGAAAUGGAAGUAGAGGGUUGUGGAGUUAUGUCCAAGGGAAGACCUUUCUCCUUUAGGCCAUUUUGCUAUCAAAGUUCCGCAACUGGAUGCACACAGUAGCAUGCAACAUACACACCUGGAUAGGUUCAAACUUCAAAGGGUGAUCAUGAAUUAAAAAACAGGGUCAGUUAUGACUGGAGACAAGGCAUAGGAGUAUGUCAGAGAACUGACAGACCACCCAGCCAGGACUCCGUCUGGAGACGUUACUCUACUACUGCUUAAAUGACCAACUGAUCUGGUUAUGUACUCGCAUUUCAUCCACCAGAGCUGGUCACCUGCCUCCUUGUAAAUCAAAGAUACAGAGUUAGAGCAAGUCCAAGAUAUGCCAUAUAUGAUGUCCUAAGUCAUAAUUUAGGACAUUUGGUAAAAAGACUUGAUCCAACAAUGUCCUAGUGAUGCCUUAUAUCACUAGGACGAGCUCCUCAAGCCUUAUUUUUGAAGCACAUCUUUGCUUGCCCUAUCCUAUAUUUUAUAGUAAAAUAUUACCCAUCUCUUCCUUUUAUUGUCCUUUAAUGAUGAAAGAAAACUUCUAAUAAUAAAAUAUUAAAUUUGUAAUAAGGAUAAGGCACAUUGUUGGAGUUGAAGUUAGUUAAGUAUGUCCUAAAUCACUGGGACAUAAUUUUCUAUAUUAUAUUUAAGACAUCAACUAGGACACUCUUGGACUUGCUCUAUGAGCCCAUAGAAAAGAUCUAGUUCAAGUAAGGUCAUAAGCUGGAAACAAUAUUUCCUUUCAAUAUGGAACUAGUCCCCAGGUUGCGCCUGCCACUAUUUAAAUAUAAUUUUAAGUUUAGAGAAAGACAAGGUAAGGUCCAGGACCAAACUAAGCAUGCAACAGGACCAAGUGAUUUCAUUAUCUUGAUAAUAUGAAGUAAUACAACACUCAAAUCCUAAAAUUCCUUUUUAUCAUGCUUCUUAGAAACCGUUAAGACUGCUAUACUGACUAGACAGCAUUUGCGUUAACUAACUUCUUGGAAGCACAGAUAUUUUCGGAAGCAUCUACAUAAAACUGUAGAUAAAACAUUAAUAGCUGAAAAUGAUAAAAUCCCAACUUCAGCUAGGAACUAUAGCCAGAAUAUUAUGUGCAUCAUUAAGGUCAAAUGAACAU
Molecule: long non-coding RNA, 11582 nt
Filed under: Daucus carota (carrot)
Lineage: Eukaryota; Viridiplantae; Streptophyta; Magnoliopsida; Apiales; Apiaceae
Source: RNAcentral